GGUACAUCGGUGGACAGGUGGUGCAUGGUUGUCGUCAGCUCGUGUCGUGAGAUGUUGGUUAAGUCCCGCAACGAGCGCAACCCCUAUUGUUAGUUGCCAUCAUUCAGUUGGGCACUCUAGCGAGACUGCCGGUAAUAAACCGGAGGAAGGUGGGGAUGACGUCAAAUCAUCAUGCCCCUUAUGACCUGGGCUACACACGUGCUACAAUGGUUGGUACAACGAGUUGCGAGUCGGUGACGGCGAGCUAAUCUCUUAAAGCCAAUCUCAGUUCGGAUUGUAGGCUGCAACUCGCCUACAUGAAGUCGGAAUCGCUAGUAAUCGCGGAUCAGCACGCCGCGGUGAAUACGUUCCCGGGCCUU
This 359-nucleotide ribosomal RNA is filed under the name uncultured Streptococcus sp. RNAcentral describes it as "bacterial SSU rRNA". It matches the Rfam family "Bacterial small subunit ribosomal RNA", at positions 1021 to 1382 of the family's 1533-position model. Lineage: Bacteria; Bacillati; Bacillota; Bacilli; Lactobacillales; Streptococcaceae. The record is from RNAcentral.